RNAcentral lists this long non-coding RNA (1808 nucleotides) under Spirodela polyrhiza (greater duckweed). RNAcentral describes it as "long non-coding RNA (SPOL_LNC002097)". Lineage: Eukaryota; Viridiplantae; Streptophyta; Magnoliopsida; Alismatales; Araceae. The record is from RNAcentral.
AGAAAUACCAUUUCUAUCAAGCUCCUCACGUCUAAUUAUAUCUGCAGUCACAGGAGUUUUUGCUUGACCGCGUCUUGAACAGAUUACCUAAAAUUAUGAGUGAACUUUGAACAGGUCUGUGUAUUCACUUUCGACAGUAUUCAUUUGUUUUGUGCAAAUACUGUAAUGAUUAGGUUUUAUCUUGAACAUAGGUUUUAUCCUUCAUGUUACGGAUGGAUUAUAAUUAGUUUCGCUGGAGUGCUGUUGGAUACAAUCACAUGGGCUGUUAAUAAUCCCCAAGACCUGAUUCGGAUGAACUUUGCUCUGUAUGGCUGAUCUCAACAACUGGCUGACUAUUAACUUUUUUCAUUCUUGGAUGGUCUAAUUAGGGUAAUCUCCAGGUCUACCAAAACUGGAACACCUGAGGUGCGGGUGGUAUAUUGCCAAAACUGUGUGAAGGUUCCUCGGUUCUUUUUGCUCACCCCCUUUUUUUCUUCUUACCCAACGGACCUGUGAAGGUAGUCCCAGACAUUACCCAGAUGAGGAUCAAUUGAUCUCAUCAGCUACCCGACCUUUUCAAAAAGUUUUACAAGAAGAAGAUGAUCGGGCCAUAGUUUUCUUGCUCCCACUGGCAGAUUUUUUUUAUUUUUGUUUGUUAAUUUGAGCACAAAGGAAGGGAGAUGAAUGCUUGAAGAUGAAUAAAAUAUUUCCCUUCCUUGUUCCUCAAACCCAAGGAGAUGAGAUAUCAUAUGGGAAGUUUCUCUAUCUCCCUUGUUGCCAGGAAUGGGGAAACUGGUGGAGCAAGAUCUCAGAAAUAUAUUGUAGACGCUUCAGCAUCAUGAUUCGUCGUAUUCUGUCUCUUUCUGUUAAAUUCUAUAGGUUUCGACCUCUUGAUAAGUAUUGAAAUCCAUCUCAUUCACAAAUAGUUGACUUUAUCCUCGGGUCCCUGCACAACCUGGCAAUUCCUGUCAGCAGCUUGAGUAGGUGACCUACUGUUGAACAGUGGCAAAGGUCCUCUUCCUUCCUUUUCAGUCAAUUUCUUUCCAAUAAAGUUGCAGUGAUUCUCAUACAGAUGCAUUUUUUUCAUAAAUAAGAGCAGAAAUGUUCCCAGAGGUGAUUUCAAAUAUGAUUUUCCGGUUGAAUUCCAAUGAGCUUUCAUGAUCUUGUGCACUUUCUUUGUAAUUCCUUUCCUUUUAUUUCACCCACCGCUUGUAACAUCUGCUGCCGUUUUUACUUAAUUGUGGAUUAAUUGCCCUCAGUCAACGUCAAGCUGAAUUCUUUCUAACCACAGCACACUUCUUGCAUCUCCUCAUCAUUUCCUCUUCUAAUUUCUAUCUGUUUAUCCACCUGUUAUGAUUGCUCCAGGCCUCGUGUUUACAAUCAUAUCUAUUUAUGAUCAUAACAGCUUCACAAUCAUAAGUUUAUUAUAGCAAUGUCUCCAAUGAAAAUAAAUAAUCUAAAUAAGCGUCUGUACGGAUAAAAUCUACCAUCUGUAUCUUAGAUUCGUCUGUGAUAAUAUAUUUCCCUGCAUAGAUUGUCGUGCACUGGCUGGCCUGUGAGGGAGGAGCUUGAGCUCUCUCUUCCCUUAAGAUGCUCUCUGGCUACUCGGAAGAAGGGCCGUUUAAUGUCUUUUUAUGUAAAUUCGUCUUUAUCAUAAAAAAUAGGGUUCUAAGUGGAGCAUUAUUGUAUGAGAAAUUCGAUUAAAGUUCGAUAUUAUUAUUAUUAUUAUUAUUAUAGGGUUCUAACGGGAAAUUCCGUUCAUAAAUCAAAUGUAUUUCUUCACCGAAUUCUGGGUUUUAUAAAAACCAAUGGCCGCAUGAACACGGAUC